GAUGAACGCUAGCUACAGGCUUAACACAUGCAAGUCGAGGGGUAACGAGAGGAAAGCUUGCUUUCCUUGUCGACGACCGGCGCACGGGUGAGUAACGCGUAUCCAACCUGCCCCCAACUAGGGAAUAACCUUGCGAAAGUAAGACUAAUACCCUAUAAUUUCCUCAGAUGACAUCUGACGAGGAAUAAAGAUUUAUCGGUUGUGGAUGGGGAUGCGUCUGAUUAGCUUGUUGGCGGGGUAACGGCCCACCAAGGCAACGAUCAGUAGGGGUUUUGAGGGAAAGGUCCCCCACAUUGGAACUGAGACACGGUCCAAACUCCUACGGGAGGCAGCAGUGAGGAAUAUUGGUCAAUGGGCGGAAGCCUGAACCAGCCAAGUAGCGUGCAGGAUGACGGCCCUAUGGGUUGUAAACUGCUUUUAUACAGGAAUAAAGUUAGCCACGUGUGGUUAUUUGUAGGUACUGUAUGAAUAAGGACCGGCUAAUUCCGUGCCAGCCGCCGCUGUAA
This 506-nucleotide ribosomal RNA is filed under the name uncultured bacterium. RNAcentral describes it as "partial 16S ribosomal RNA". It matches the Rfam family "Bacterial small subunit ribosomal RNA", at positions 28 to 523 of the family's 1533-position model. The record is from RNAcentral.